Molecule: unclassified non-coding RNA, 206 nt
Filed under: Hevea brasiliensis (rubber tree)
Lineage: Eukaryota; Viridiplantae; Streptophyta; Magnoliopsida; Malpighiales; Euphorbiaceae
Source: RNAcentral
AAUACUCAUACGGGUCACAUGGCACGGGUCACGUGGCCUGGGUAACGCCUGCUCGGUCCAUACCUCUUGCCAGGUGUCACUCGAUUCCAAUCAUGGUUGUCCAUAUGUCCAGCUCGGAUGCCACAUCAGUAACUACUGUCUUUGCGUGCAUUCUACUCGUAGAGAAUAGAAGUUUUGCCUGAUUCCUGAUCAAGGGGAAGGGUCGA